This 66-nucleotide transfer RNA is filed under the name Zeugodacus tau. RNAcentral's name for it is "tRNA-Cys". The record is from RNAcentral. Lineage: Eukaryota; Metazoa; Arthropoda; Insecta; Diptera; Tephritidae.
GGCUUUAUAGUCAAUAAUGACAUUAGACUGCAAUUCUAAAGGAGUAAAAACAACUUACUAAGGCUU